AUUGAACGCUGGCGGCAGGCCUAACACAUGCAAGUCGAACGGUAACAGGAAGCAGCUUGCUGCUUCGCUGACGAGUGGCGGACGGGUGAGUAAUGUCUGGGAAACUGCCUGAUGGAGGGGGAUAACUACUGGAAACGGUAGCUAAUACCGCAUAACGUCGCAAGACCAAAGAGGGGGACCUUCGGGCCUCUUGCCAUCGGAUGUGCCCAGAUGGGAUUAGCUAGUAGGUGGGGUAACGGCUCACCUAGGCGACGAUCCCUAGCUGGUCUGAGAGGAUGAGCAGCCACACUGGAACUGAGACACGGGCCAGACUCCUACGGGAGGCAGCAGUGGGGAAUAUUGCACAAUGGGCGCAAGCCUGAUGCAGCCAUGCCGCGUGUAUGAAGAAGGCCUUCGGGUUGUAAAGUACUUUCAGCGGGGAGGAAGGCGAUAAGGUUAAUAACCUUGUCGAUUGACGUUACCCGCAGAAGAAGCACCGGCUAACUCCGUGCCAGCAGCCGCGGUAA
RNAcentral lists this ribosomal RNA (506 nucleotides) under uncultured bacterium. RNAcentral describes it as "partial 16S ribosomal RNA". It matches the Rfam family "Bacterial small subunit ribosomal RNA", at positions 30 to 523 of the family's 1533-position model. The record is from RNAcentral.